UGCAGUCGAGCGGACAGAUGGGAGCUUGCUCCCUGAUGUUAGCGGCGGACGGGUGAGUAACACGUGGGUAACCUGCCUGUAAGACUGGGAUAACUCCGGGAAACCGGGGCUAAUACCGGAUGGUUGUUUGAACCGCAUGGUUCAGACAUAAAAGGUGGCUUCGGCUACCACUUACAGAUGGACCCGCGGCGCAUUAGCUAGUUGGUGAGGUAACGGCUCACCAAGGCGACGAUGCGUAGCCGACCUGAGAGGGUGAUCGGCCACACUGGGACUGAGACACGGCCCAGACUCCUACGGGAGGCAGCAGUAGGGAAUCUUCCGCAAUGGACGAAAGUCUGACGGAGCAACGCCGCGUGAGUGAUGAAGGUUUUCGGAUCGUAAAGCUCUGUUGUUAGGGAAGAACAAGUGCCGUUCAAAUAGGGCGGCACCUUGACGGUACCUAACCAGAAAGCCACGGCUAACUACGUGCCAGCAGCCGCGGUAAUACGUAGGUGGCAAGCGUUGUCCGGAAUUAUUGGGCGUAAAGGGCUCGCAGGCGGUUUCUUAAGUCUGAUGUGAAAGCCCCCGGCUCAACCGGGGAGGGUCAUUGGAAACUGGGGAACUUGAGUGCAGAAGAGGAGAGUGGAAUUCCACGUGUAGCGGUGAAAUGCGUAGAGAUGUGGAGGAACACCAGUGGCGAAGGCGACUCUCUGGUCUGUAACUGACGCUGAGGAGCGAAAGCGUGGGGAGCGAACAGGAUUAGAUACCCUGGUAGUCCACGCCGUAAACGAUGAGUGCUAAGUGUUAGGGGGUUUCCGCCCCUUAGUGCUGCAGCUAACGCAUUAAGCACUCCGCCUGGGGAGUACGGUCGCAAGACUGAAACUCAAAGGAAUUGACGGGGGCCCGCACAAGCGGUGGAGCAUGUGGUUUAAUUCGAAGCAACGCGAAGAACCUUACCAGGUCUUGACAUCCUCUGACAAUCCUAGAGAUAGGACGUCCCCUUCGGGGGCAGAGUGACAGGUGGUGCAUGGUUGUCGUCAGCUCGUGUCGUGAGAUGUUGGGUUAAGUCCCGCAACGAGCGCAACCCUUGAUCUUAGUUGCCAGCAUUCAGUUGGGCACUCUAAGGUGACUGCCGGUGACAAACCGGAGGAAGGUGGGGAUGACGUCAAAUCAUCAUGCCCCUUAUGACCUGGGCUACACACGUGCUACAAUGGACAGAACAAAGGGCAGCGAAACCGCGAGGUUAAGCCAAUCCCACAAAUCUGUUCUCAGUUCGGAUCGCAGUCUGCAACUCGACUGCGNGAAGCNNGAAUCGCUAGUAAUC
RNAcentral lists this ribosomal RNA (1303 nucleotides) under Bacillus sp. (in: firmicutes). RNAcentral's name for it is "bacterial SSU rRNA". It matches the Rfam family "Bacterial small subunit ribosomal RNA", at positions 56 to 1343 of the family's 1533-position model. The record is from RNAcentral. Lineage: Bacteria; Bacillati; Bacillota; Bacilli; Caryophanales; Bacillaceae.